CGGGCACUAGCUCAGUCGGUGAGAGCAGCGGUCUUAUAAACCGUGUUUGUCCUGGGUUCGAAUCCCAGGUGCGCGACCA
This 79-nucleotide transfer RNA is filed under the name Butyricicoccus sp. RNAcentral describes it as "tRNA-Ile". It matches the Rfam family "tRNA". Rfam says of the family: Transfer RNA (tRNA) molecules are approximately 80 nucleotides in length. The record is from RNAcentral. Lineage: Bacteria; Bacillati; Bacillota; Clostridia; Eubacteriales; Butyricicoccaceae.